AGGACCCUUGUCAGAGAUGAUGUUCCGGUCUGAUAUGUCAAUGUCUCAGCUGACAUUUUCCAUUUGCUCUGUAUCCUUUAAUCAAAACAUUUUUUCACCCCCAGACUUUGUCCUAGUGGUGAUCUCCAACAACUGUGGAAUGUUUCUUAGAAUGGGUCUAAAGAAAACAGAAUGCAAGCCAGAAAACGGCACCGGGAAGAGCAGUAACCACAUGUGAGAGGACGCCGUUUGGAUCACAGUGCAAAUAUUGCAGGGAGACCAGCUACUAUUUGAAGGGGGAGAUGACAUGAAGACCAACAGUGGGACAGAGAAGAUUAAGGAAAAAAAAAACUCCUCCCUUAUCCAAGAAAUUGAAGAAGCAGCUUUACUGCAUGACAUCAUAAGGGCAGCCAAAUGGUCCAGAACACCAGCGUUUCCAGGAAGAUGGUCCCUGCCUGAUGUUAUAGAGAUGGAAGAGCGGAACACUGAAAGAACUCCAAACCUGUGACUUCAUGAGUGAAGGGAAGAGAAUCAUGAAGCUGAAGGAUCCUUUCAUGUUCUCUUUUCAGUUGAAAAGUGACUGCAACAUUUUUAGAGCAGAAAUAAUGGAUGUGAGGAACUUAAAAGUGUAUAUGUGUUUUGAGGAGCAAUAAACAGUUUUGGCUGGUUGUUUCUU
This is a long non-coding RNA of Oryzias melastigma (Indian medaka), 655 nucleotides long. RefSeq lists it as uncharacterized. The record is from RefSeq and is a predicted model, not a curated record. NCBI's taxonomy places the organism in Eukaryota, Metazoa, Chordata, Actinopteri, Beloniformes, Adrianichthyidae. The transcript has 4 exons.